UACGAAGGGGGCUAGCGUUGCUCGGAAUCACUGGGCGUAAAGGGUGCGUAGGCGGGUCUUUUAAGUCAGGGGUGAAAUCCUGGAGCUCAACUCCAGAACUGCCUUUGAUACUGAAGAUCUUGAGUUCGGGAGAGGUGAGUGGAACUGCGAGUGUAGAGGUGAAAUUCGUAGAUAUUCGCAAGAACACCAGUGGCGAAGGCGGCUCACUGGCCCGGUACUGACGCUGAGGCACGAAAGCGUGGGGAGCAAACAGG
This 254-nucleotide ribosomal RNA is filed under the name uncultured bacterium. RNAcentral describes it as "partial 16S ribosomal RNA". It matches the Rfam family "Bacterial small subunit ribosomal RNA", at positions 524 to 776 of the family's 1533-position model. The record is from RNAcentral.